AUGACUAUUUAUAUAUAUUAUUGUCAUAAGGCAAACACAAAGUUUGAGAUUAUUGUGACGACUCAAGGGGGGAACUUCCCUCACUUUUUGAUGGGACACAGGCGUUACCUGUUAGGAGGGAAUGCAAAGACAAUAAAACCCGACAAACGGAAGUUGGUCUUAUCUUUUGACGACCCAAAUAUCAGAUGGAGUCGAUUCAAGCACCACAUGUUGGAAAUACUGCACCAUAGUGACAUAAGGGGCAUCGCAUUCAGGAAACCUAAUGAUUCCAUAUACACCUUCCCAAUGCCUGAUUGCAUGUGCCAACAAGAUGGUAUAUGA
This 321-nucleotide ribosomal RNA is filed under the name Triticum aestivum (bread wheat). RNAcentral's name for it is "partial small subunit ribosomal RNA". Lineage: Eukaryota; Viridiplantae; Streptophyta; Magnoliopsida; Poales; Poaceae. The record is from RNAcentral.